This 1100-nucleotide ribosomal RNA is filed under the name Didymella cucurbitacearum. Its description in RNAcentral is "SSU rRNA". It matches the Rfam family "Eukaryotic small subunit ribosomal RNA", at positions 34 to 1143 of the family's 1831-position model. Lineage: Eukaryota; Fungi; Ascomycota; Dothideomycetes; Pleosporales; Didymellaceae. The record is from RNAcentral.
GUCUCAAAGAUUAAGCCAUGCAUGUCUAAGUAUAAGCAAUUAUACCGUGAAACUGCGAAUGGCUCAUUAAAUCAGUUAUCGUUUAUUUGAUAGUACCUUACUACUUGGAUAACCGUGGUAAUUCUAGAGCUAAUACAUGCUGAAAACCCCGACUUCGGGAGGGGUGUAUUUAUUAGAUAAAAAACCAACGCCCUUCGGGGCUUCUUGGUGAUUCAUGAUAACUUCACGGAUCGCAUGGCCUUGCGCCGGCGACGGUUCAUUCAAAUUUCUGCCCUAUCAACUUUCGAUGGUAAGGUAUUGGCUUACCAUGGUUUCAACGGGUAACGGGGAAUUAGGGUUCGAUUCCGGAGAGGGAGCCUGAGAAACGGCUACCACAUCCAAGGAAGGCAGCAGGCGCGCAAAUUACCCAAUCCCGACACGGGGAGGUAGUGACAAUAAAUACUGAUACAGGGCUCUUUUGGGUCUUGUAAUUGGAAUGAGUACAAUUUAAACCUCUUAACGAGGAACAAUUGGAGGGCAAGUCUGGUGCCAGCAGCCGCGGUAAUUCCAGCUCCAAUAGCGUAUAUUAAAGUUGUUGCAGUUAAAAAGCUCGUAGUUGAAACUUGGGCCUGGCUGGCAGGUCCGCCUCACCGCGUGUACUUGUCCGGCCGGGCCUUUCCUUCUGGAGAACCUCAUGCCCUUCACUGGGUGUGUUGGGGAACCAGGACUUUUACUUUGAAAAAAUUAGAGUGUUCAAAGCAGGCCUUUGCUCGAAUACGUUAGCAUGGAAUAAUAGAAUAGGACGUGCGGUCCUAUUUUGUUGGUUUCUAGGACCGCCGUAAUGAUUAAUAGGGACAGUCGGGGGCAUCAGUAUUCAAUUGUCAGAGGUGAAAUUCUUGGAUUUAUUGAAGACUAACUACUGCGAAAGCAUUUGCCAAGGAUGUUUUCAUUAAUCAGUGAACGAAAGUUAGGGGAUCGAAGACGAUCAGAUACCGUCGUAGUCUUAACCGUAAACUAUGCCGACUAGGGAUCGGGCGAUGUUCUUUUUCUGACUCGCUCGGCACCUUACGAGAAAUCAAAGUUUUUGGGUUCUGGGGGGAGUAUGGUCGCAAGGCUGAAAC